Molecule: ribosomal RNA, 495 nt
Filed under: uncultured bacterium
Lineage: Bacteria
Description: partial 16S ribosomal RNA
Rfam family: Bacterial small subunit ribosomal RNA
Source: RNAcentral
GACGAACGCUGGCGGCGUGCCUAAUACAUGCAAGUAGAACGCUGAAGGAGGAGCUUGCUUCUCUGGAUGAGUUGCGAACCGGUGAGUAACGCGUAGGUAACCUGCCUGGUAGCGGGGGAUAACUAUUGGAAACGAUAGCUAAUACCGCAUAAUAGCAGUUAUUGCAUGAUAACUGUUUGAAAGGUGCAAUUGCACCACUACCAGAUGGACCUGCGUUGUAUUAGCUAGUUGGUGGGGUAACGGCUCACCAAGGCGACGAUACAUAGCCGACCUGAGAGGGUGAUCGGCCACACUGGGACUGAGACACGGCCCAGACUCCUACGGGAGGCAGCAGUAGGGAAUCUUCGGCAAUGGACGGAAGUCUGACCGAGCAACGCCGCGUGAGUGAAGAAGGUUUUCGGAUCGUAAAGCUCUGUUGUAAGAGAAGAACGAGUGUGAGAGUGGAAAGUUCACACUGUGACGGUAUCUUACCAGAAAGGGACGGCUAACUACGUG